CAGCUCGUGUCGUGAGAUGUUCGGUUAAGUCCGCUAACGAGCGCAACCCCACGUUUAGUUGCUAACGCGUGAAGGCGAGCACUCUAGACGAACUGCCGUUGACAAAACGGAGGAAGUGGGGAUGACGUCAAAUCAUCAUGCCCCUUAUGUUCUGGGCUACACACGUGCUACAAUGGCCGGUACAGACGGACGCAAAGCCGCGAGGUGGAGCAAAUCCUAAAAAAGCCGGUCUCAGUUCGGAUUGCAGGCUGCAAUUCGCCUGCAUGAAGUCGGAAUCGCUAGUAAUCGCAGGUCAGCAUACUGCGGUGAAUACGUUCCCGGGCCUU
This 326-nucleotide ribosomal RNA is filed under the name uncultured Pelotomaculum sp. RNAcentral's name for it is "bacterial SSU rRNA". It matches the Rfam family "Bacterial small subunit ribosomal RNA", at positions 1056 to 1382 of the family's 1533-position model. The record is from RNAcentral. Lineage: Bacteria; Bacillati; Bacillota; Clostridia; Eubacteriales; Desulfotomaculaceae.